This is a long non-coding RNA of Cephus cinctus (wheat stem sawfly), 551 nucleotides long. RefSeq lists it as uncharacterized. Lineage: Eukaryota; Metazoa; Arthropoda; Insecta; Hymenoptera; Cephidae. The transcript has 2 exons. The record is from RefSeq and is a predicted model, not a curated record.
GAAAAUCGUAGCGUUGUGCAUCUCCCUACUGAUCUCUGCACACAUGUACUAUAGGGACGGGGUUACCCUUCCCUGGCACAUCUCCUCAUUGUUGGUGGCAGCCACAAGGAAAGGAAGGAAGGGUUACCCUUCCGCCUCAUCCACUCAGCUUGCUCAGUGGGUUGGGCCCAAGUUGUGGUCGCGAUAUGGUGUCUUCGAACCUCACGACGGGGACCUUGAGCACUCUUAGGGUACGCUAUGAGUCUUGCGUGCAGUCAUUCUAAUUAGGUGUUUAUCUUUCAAUGAGGUGUUUACAAGUACGGCAUAUUUGAGUACUUUCAUAUACUGGCACAUCUCAUUGGAGGAGGAUGUCAAAAGUAAAAGAAGGUACUUUGUCACAUAGGAUGUAAGAGGUGCUUACAUCGAAUACAUCCUGAGCUGUUGCUGAUCCAGGACGCCAAAAUGAUCUGUCAGAGAACACAUCGUCGUAUGGAGAUUCGGAAACAGUAUCGUAGGACUUAAGUUCUUUCUCUACUUGUUCCUGUAAAUAAAAAUUGUCAAGAUUGCAAACA